This is a long non-coding RNA of Ostrinia nubilalis (European corn borer), 2053 nucleotides long. RefSeq lists it as uncharacterized. The record is from RefSeq and is a predicted model, not a curated record. The transcript has 3 exons. Lineage: Eukaryota; Metazoa; Arthropoda; Insecta; Lepidoptera; Crambidae.
AUAUGUCGCAGGCAAAUUGUAUGAUUCUGCAUUUUACAAACGGCGUCGUCAGUUCACAAACGCUCGCUGUUCUAUGAAAUGUCGAAGGCAAAAUGUAAAUUGCCUUGGCACUUUAUAAUAUGCCACAAAAUUUGAUAGCCAAUUCAAUCGCCGUUUACAAAAUGCCGCGGCAAAUUGAAGAAUUUAGUUAGUUUUCUUACCACGCGAGGCGCUGCCAAUCAAAACAAGAAAAAUGGCGUCGAGUAGUGGUGUUGUGAUACAGAAAAAUAUUGAAAACAGUGCAAAUUCUACGUAUUCAAAGGACUUUUCACAAAAAACUAUUGUUUUAAAGACAUUUAUUUUACGAUUCAACAAUAGAAGCAGUGAAAAAGCCGUGGACAAAUGAAAAAGUUUUUGAGGUUAUCAGGACUGUAAAAAACGCUAAGGUGACAAUGGGAUCUGGUGCUCGGAGGACUGCUGCGGAAUAUUAUAUGGUAUAAAAAAUAUGAUGUAUGAGUAUUGGCGAUGUGGACUAUCUUAUUCUGAAAAAAAGACAGCCAUGAGAGCCCAACGGAAAACAUACCUAUGGAAGACUAUUAUGAUAUGUGAACGCUAAAGUGUAACCUUGUUGGUGAUCAAAUAAAUAAAUAUAGUGAUAUUCAUAGGGACAGUGGACAUGGUAGUCGAGACAAAAUUCAGUACCAAAUUAAAGAUCGAUAUUGUCUAUUUCUUUCUUUCUUUCUAUUUGAAUAGAAUUUGAAUUACUGAAAUAAGGUCCGAUUUAUCCAACAUGUGUUUUAUGAUGGUCACCCUAUUGCAACAAUCAUAGUCGAAAUUUCAUCAAUUGAACGAGUCGCCAAUUUGCCUUCGGCAUUUCACAGAACAGCGAACGUUUGUAAACUGACGACGCCGUUUGUAAAAUGCGGAAUCAUACAAUUUGCCUGCGACACAUAUACAGCUUUUUGCUAAACAAAAGAGAUGCAAGCACUAUAAGACGGCGAAUAUUUUUGUGAAUCAAUUAGAUUGCGGAAUGUUGACUUAGUGACAAACCAAAUUCCACGCGGAUGAUGACUGAUGCUAGGAACAGCAGUACAGUUAAUACAAAUUCGUUUUAGCCAAAACACGUGUAAGUCACCUUGACGCUAAAAUGAACAGCAAAUCUUGAGGAAACCUCCAACGGGAGUGGACUCAAUGAAGCAGAUCCACAAUGCUGCUGGAGUCAUGAAUCGUGUGACGUCACGCGAAAAAGCGGGAAACAAAAUGCAAAGCUGCGUAUAUGUGAGCAGCUCGUAUGGAAAACGAAAGUCUUCCGUCGCGAGUUUCAUUCCGACGAAGUUGGACGCUCGCGGCUGCUGCAGCUGCGAUCUCCGAAGGGAGCGAGCGAACUACUUGGAUGCGACGUCUGGGAAAAUGACAAAAUAAUACAACUGUACGUACAGCCAGAAUCAAAUCGUUCAUGACAGCCAAAGUAGCCAAAAAAUUGCACAAUUUUUGUUACAUUGGAAUAAGGUUGUGUUGUCAACAUUUUGGGCACUUUGGGUGCCACGAACCAUUUGACGCUGACUAUAGGUACCUCUAAAGAACAACAUAAUACCUCUACUGUAUAUGGGUAUUAAUUUAGACUAUAUCAAACUUCAAGGUUCCGAGACAAAAAAGAUUUUAUAACAAGAUAAUAAACAACAUUUAUCAAUAUAGGUACUAUGUAUUAGAUAAUAAUGUAUUUACAUGAUAGAUCCUCGUGCCUGCGCUUUAGCAUUCUCUGUAACACAGAAAAAUCUAUUCCUCUGAUUCUUGGUUUAUUGGACAAAUUAGUAACUAAUACUUUUCUUUGAGAUCUGUUUAAAAAUGUGUCUUAAUUCUUUAGUUGAAUGUGUUCAGUUGAAAUGUAUUAAGUUACAUCAUUAACUUGAAAUUUGAAGUAUUGUUUUAUUGGGAUGAAACUAUGAAUAUCAACUACAUGAAUUUGUAAUUGAAUACUUAUUCUUUUGUAUUUAAAUACUUAGUCUAUCUUUCCAAAUACAGAAUGACUUUGAUCUAUCUGACCUUAUGAUAAACUUAGUGUAAGUUUAAAUAA